RNAcentral lists this ribosomal RNA (253 nucleotides) under uncultured bacterium. RNAcentral describes it as "partial 16S ribosomal RNA". It matches the Rfam family "Bacterial small subunit ribosomal RNA", at positions 524 to 776 of the family's 1533-position model. The record is from RNAcentral.
UACGUAGGUGGCAAGCGUUGUCCGGAUUUACUGGGCGUAAAGAGCGCGCAGGCGGCUGGUCAAGUCCGAUGUGAAAGCUCCCGGCUUAACUGGGAAAUUGCAUCGGAAACUGAUCGGCUGGAAGGUGGGAGAGGGUAGCGGAAUUCCCGGUGUAGUGGUGAAAUGCGUAGAUAUCGGGAGGAACACCAGUGGCGAAAGCGGCUACCUGGCCCAUUCUUGACGCUGAGGCGCGAAAGCUAGGGGAGCAAACGGG